RNAcentral lists this ribosomal RNA (397 nucleotides) under uncultured bacterium. Its description in RNAcentral is "bacterial SSU rRNA". It matches the Rfam family "Bacterial small subunit ribosomal RNA", at positions 362 to 776 of the family's 1533-position model. The record is from RNAcentral.
UAUUGCACAAUGGGGGAAACCCUGAUGCAGCGACGCCGCGUGAAGGGAGAAGUAUUUCGGUAUGUAAACUUCCAUCAGCAGGGAAGAAAAUGACGGUACCUGACUAAGAAGCCCCCGCUAACUACGUGCCAGCAGCCGCGGGAAUUCGUAGGGGGCAAGCGUUAUCCGGAUUUACUGGGUGUACAGGGAGCGUAGGCGGUGCAGCAAGUCAGAAGUGAAAGCCCGGGGCUCAACUCCGGGACUGCUUUUGAAACUGUUGAACUAGAUUGCAGGAGAGGUAAGUGGAAUUCCUAGUGUAGCGGUGAAAUGCGUAGAUAUUAGGAGGAACACCAGUGGCGAAGGCGGCUUACUGGACUGUAAAUGACGCUGAGGCUCGAAAGCGUGGGGAGCAAACAGG